UUUAUUGUUGGUCUGUUUGGCCGGUCGCCAAAGACUCUGCCCCUGUUUGGCCACCCACCCGGCCGGUCGCCAAAGACUCUGCCCCUGUUUGGCCACCCACCCGGCCGGUCGCCAAAGACUCUGCCCCUGUUUGGCCAUCCACCCGGUCGGUCGUCAAAGACUCUGCCUCUGUUUGGACAUCCACCCGGUCGGCCGCCAAAGACUCUGCCCCUGUUUGGCCACCCACACGGCCAGCCACCAGACAUUCUGCCCUUGCUUGGCCGUCCACCCGGUCAGCCACCAGACCCUUCUUUCCAGCCUUCUGUCUGGCCCGGCCUGCCCGCCUGCCUUGCUCUGGACCCCCUCCACCCACCCUAGGUGGAUUUGAUCUGUUUGUUGUGUGUUUUUGGGCUGUCUGGUCCGGUCUGCCCGCCUGCCUUGCUCUGGACCCCCUCCACCCACCCUAGGUGGAUUUGUUCUGUUUGUGUUUAGGGCCGUCUGGAAUCCGGCCCUUAGAGGGGGGGUACUGUAAGGUCUGUGUUCUGUCCGUGUCUAAUUUCUGUGUUUGUCUCCCUUGUGUGGUCGCAUGUCUAGUCCUCGUGCUUCCUUGUUCCCGCCAUGUGCUUUCCCUGUGUUUGUUUGUCUGUGCCAUGUGCCCUCUUGUUGUUGUCCGUGUCUCCACCCCUCACCUGUUCCCAAUCUCCCGGGUUGUGUGUAUCAUUGGUUUCACCUGUGUCCUGUUGGUUCCCCUUGUUUAGUCCACCUGUGUCUUUGUCUGCCCCGCCUUGAUUGUUCUCACCUGUCCCUCGUUAUCUGUUGCCUGUGUGUAUAUAUAGUCCUUGUUUUCUUGUUCCUCGUUGUGUCGUCGUAAAAAUUGUGUUUGAUGGUAUGUUCCUUGUUUUUCCACUGCUCCUCGUGUGUUUCCUAGCGUUUAGCGCUUCUGCCUUGUUCAAGUGAUUACUCGUGCUUCUGACCUCUGCCUGCCCUACAACUAUUCUCCUGCCUAUUCCCUGUUUGGAUUUGUUUGCCUACUUUUGGACUGCCUACCUGUGUACCGAACCCUGCUAGUAAACGUUUAUUCUUCUGAAUCUACCCCUGUGCUG
This is a long non-coding RNA of Clupea harengus (Atlantic herring), 1082 nucleotides long. Lineage: Eukaryota; Metazoa; Chordata; Actinopteri; Clupeiformes; Clupeidae. The record is from Ensembl.